Molecule: ribosomal RNA, 918 nt
Filed under: Triticum aestivum (bread wheat)
Lineage: Eukaryota; Viridiplantae; Streptophyta; Magnoliopsida; Poales; Poaceae
Description: partial small subunit ribosomal RNA
Source: RNAcentral
AUGUUAUUGAGAACACAUUGGCAGAAACGAGACGCGAAAAGAAUGAAUCAUGGAGAUGGCGCUGAUCCUUGGGGUUAUCGAAGGCCAGAAACGCCCCUUUGGGAUGUAGCAGAGUACAAUCAACUCAUUUCUGCAGGGCCAUUGCUGCCACUACUAGAACAGUACGUAGGCAUUGGUUCUUAUGACCAAAACACACUCAGCGGGGCACCAUGGCAAGUUCAGCCACAGGGCGCUAACACUGACAAAUGUACGGGCAGCCAACUUCAACUAGCUAAUGUGGCAAAUCAAGAACCUUCAUGCAGCACGUGGCAUCAGGCGGCACCCAUGUACCUGCCAUCGAUGUCAUACACAAGUUAUUACGGUGCUGCUACCCCGGCAAUCGUCUCAUGGCAAGCUUCACAGAUUGCAGAUAGAGCACGUCAAUUUGGUGUUACAGACCACACAAGAUGGGCACAUGCAGCACAACAAGGGCCUACAACUAUAGUGAACAUCGGUGCGGGGACAUCUACUGCGGGGAGCUCUGAGCGCACGGAAGACACGUUCCACCAGCCAACCAACAAUCAUGCCGCAAACAAUGCCGAGUCAGAGACGAAAAUGGCAAUCAUUCAAGCAAUGCCGACAAGCACCGCUUUGAACACAAGCACUGGCAACACUCAAGUAGAUGAAACUGCCGCCGAUACUGAAGUGAAUGAUGAAACUGAUGACGAAACACAAGGGGAUGAAGAUGGUGGGCAAUCAGAGAUCGUGGUACCUCAGCCACCGUACGUUGGGCAGAGAUUUGAAUCGUUCACAGAAGCAAAGGAAUUCUACCAGACAUAUGCAAAGUUCCAUGGGUUUGCGGUCAACACCGAAUACCAUAGGAAGAUUAAGAAAACAAACGAGUACAGUAGAGGUGAGAUGAGGUGCCACAAUGCAUGA